GAGAACAUGUGAAAGCAAGGAAAUAAGGGGAAAAAAGCCCAUUGAAGUCGAAUGGGUUUGAAGAAUUACCUCCUUGAAGAGGUUGGUGGAGAUUAAAUUAAAAGAGGGGAGGUUCUCUGCCUCUGCUGAGCUUCUUCCACUGGAGUGUCCUCGGGUCGCGAGCAGAAGGGUCUCCUCAUCUCAUCUGGCCAAUCUCGCUGCACAUCUAAAUGUUGGGCUAAAAAAACUGCAUUCAUUCUCGCCAUUGCUGCCUGUUUCUUGUGCUUGAUUCCCUGUUCCUCUGCUUUCCCCCUGGUCUCUUCCAUUCUCUCUCUAGAACAUACAAGGAUUAGCUUGUACCAGGAAGAGCUCUUUUUCUCUAGAGGCUUAUCUCUGUCGCUAGGAUUUAGCUACAAUUGCUCUGUCUCUCUCUAUAUAUAUUGGGUACAAGGUCUUUC
RNAcentral lists this long non-coding RNA (437 nucleotides) under Amborella trichopoda. RNAcentral's name for it is "long non-coding RNA (ATRI_LNC000659)". The record is from RNAcentral. Lineage: Eukaryota; Viridiplantae; Streptophyta; Magnoliopsida; Amborellales; Amborellaceae.